This 402-nucleotide ribosomal RNA is filed under the name uncultured Devosia sp. RNAcentral describes it as "bacterial SSU rRNA". It matches the Rfam family "Bacterial small subunit ribosomal RNA", at positions 353 to 772 of the family's 1533-position model. The record is from RNAcentral. Lineage: Bacteria; Pseudomonadati; Pseudomonadota; Alphaproteobacteria; Hyphomicrobiales; Devosiaceae.
AGUGGGGAAUAUUGGACAAUGGGCGCAAGCCUGAUCCAGCCAUGCCGCGUGAGUGAUGAAGGCCUUAGGGUUGUAAAGCUCUUUCAGUGGGGAAGAUAAUGACGGUACCUACAGAAGAAGCCCCGGCUAACUUCGUGCCAGCAGCCGCGGUAAUACGAAGGGGGCUAGCGUUGUUCGGAUUUACUGGGCGUAAAGCGCACGUAGGCGGUUUGUUAAGUCAGGGGUGAAAUCCUGGAGCUCAACUCCAGAACUGCCUUUGAUACUGGCAAGCUAGAGUCCGGAAGAGGUGAGUGGAACUCCUAGUGUAGAGGUGGAAUUCGUAGAUAUUAGGAAGAACACCAGUGGCGAAGGCGGCUCACUGGUCCGGUACUGACGCUGAGGUGCGAAAGCGUGGGGAGCAAA